Molecule: long non-coding RNA, 3271 nt
Filed under: Homo sapiens (human)
Lineage: Eukaryota; Metazoa; Chordata; Mammalia; Primates; Hominidae
Description: long non-coding RNA NONHSAT219096.1
Source: RNAcentral
CGAGCACUCCGGAAGUUGCCCCGCCCAGGAGGCUCCUGGGAAAGUGAGGAGAGGGCCCGGGCCUACUUUCGUCCUGGUGUGGCGCCCCUCAGCCUCCCCUCCUCCCAGUUCCCGCGCCUCCGCAGGGCGCCUCGGCCUGGCCUCCAGGCAAAGUUCGCGCCCCCUGUUCCUGGGGUGUCGGCCGCGCGGGCCGUUUCCCUUCAUUACUCCCGGGCCCCUGAAUCCGAACGCUUUCCCAGAAGCGCGCAAAUCCGCUUGCUUUCCCCGCGGCUGGGCUUUGUUCAGGGACAGCAAAGGAGGAGGCGGGAGGCUGGUGAGGUUUUCUGGAAAAGGGGCUUGUCCCGAGGAGGAAGUGCCCCAGAUCCCUGAGAGCCAACGCUCUGGGGAGAAGAAACUUUCCUUCUCCCUUGAAUGUUGCUCAGAUUACCUAAAAUUAUUUUUUCAGCCCUUGUGUUCUAAAGUCGCAGGGUAAAGGUUAUCUUAAGACUUAACAUCAGCGCUGCUCAUUUGUACGUUGGUGGAGACGUGCCUUUUUUCCUUUGCACUUAAGGUGGACAGGGUCUGCGACGCUCCCUUCCAGGACGGUGUGGGGAAGCGGCCGACGUCCCCAGCCGGACUCACGCCCUCCUACUACUGGGCGUCGGCUCCGCCGCGGGCGCUCCCGACAGGGAGCUGGAGUCGGACGAGCGGCUGCCCCCAGGGCCUCCAGGAACCGCGGCCCAGCGGGGAGCGCCCCAGGCUAGCGCUUUUCCAGUUCCCUUCGAAAGCGCGGGGCUGAGGUCGCGGCGCUGGGCCCUCGGAUGAAGCCGUGCUGUAGCUACACCUGAACCCCGCGAAAGGCUGGCGCGGUCGUGUAUCCAGGCUGGGUCUGAGGAAUCCGCAAGCGGGAGAGCGCUAACUCCUAGGCGUGAGCCGCUGCUGGCUUCGAGAGUUCGAGAACAUGAAGGACCUGGCUUCUCCCGCCCGGUCGGCUUAGGGCCAGCGAGGUCACAGGCCGUUCUGCUCUCCCUGUUUGUCCCCAAAGGCCUCGGCACGUGGGGAUCUGGAGCAGGCCUCAGGCUGCGACCCGUCUCUUCCCCUACCAAAAUUAUGUGGGAACAGCGGUCCAGGACCUUCCCCUGUUCAGCGGUAUCCCCGGGCCGGUGACCCCGGGGUUCAGUCGUCUCCCCGACCCCAAGCGGCCUCUGCUUUCCACCCCUCGCCCCGGAGGGCGGCUUCGGGGAUCUCAUGGGGGGUUUGCAUGAGUCUGUCCCCAGCCAACUGAGGGAGAACCAAGACAUUAUUGCCAUCUAAAGAAAUUGAUUGCUGGAUGCCCCACUGCCUGGCUGGACAUUCCCCCAACUCCUUUCAAUUUGAAGCGGGCCGAAGAGCGAGGUCGAGAAGCUGACCAGGUGAGAGCUGAGUAGUUCACGCACAGGAAGAGGGGACAAGUUUUUCUGUUUUCACAGGGGUUCCUCACGCUCAGGCUUCCAGCGUCUGCCUGCACUGACAUCAUCGUGGUCGCGAUGAAAACAGUGAAAUAGGAACCCUGACCUCCCCUUCCAUGAGAAUCCAGCAGAGAAUUUGCUGAUGUGUUAUACAUCCGGGACAAUCGGAAACUGCCGUUUUGAUUGAGUAUUAGUUGGGAUGAGGAGCACAUACCAGGACUCCCAGAUCUGGAGUCCUCACUUUCUCAGCAAGGGCACCUGCAUCCUGAGCUUUUACAUGUACACACACCCAGCGAUUGUGUGUGCCGAGAAAGACCCACAUACGCACAUUGUUUUUUCCUCUUCCACGAUUAUCUGCCAGAAUUCUACUCAGUUAAUUGCGGUUUGAGAACACACCAUCCACAGGAGAGCACCAAUGGAUCUAGUCUAGUGAGGUUACAUUUACUUGUAAUCCUCCCCCUUCCCUUUCCCAUUUCUUUGAUGAUUUUUCCCAUAAGUGUGUAAGCUACUGGGACUUAGUAGAAGCAGGCCGCUCCUCCUAAAUGUGAUUUGGACCAUAUGCUUUCUACAUUCAUUCCCGCUUCGGCUUUUCUUCUCUGCACUAACUGCUAACACGUUAUAGUCACCUUGAAAUUUCCUCUGCUAUUUUCCAAUUAAAAGCUUAAUAGCCCUGGAAACGGAGUUCAUGUGGUGAAGUUUACCACAGCCCCUUGUUCUGAAAGGCUUUCUGCUGGGAUCCCAUUAUGUGCUUGAAUAAACCCUUUCUGCAAACAGAAAUGGGACUCGGGGUUGUCAGGUGUUGGGUUACAAUAGACUUUGAGGCAGGGGACAUUUUACCAACAUAAAUACAAACCUGUCCCUAUAGGGAGAUGUUGUCAAAUACUGGGAUAUGGAAAACAUUCCCAUCAAAUAUGAGAAAAGGAUUACUGCACUAUAUCAAAUGAGUAUUUAGAUCUCAGCCCCCGAUGUGCACCGGAGUGAAACGGGCCCCCGGGACCAAAUGCCAGACUGUUUGAGUGGCAACGAGAUAGGGUGGCUAGGUGACCGACGGGGGAAAAGGGGUCGCCUUGGUAGUGAAAGUGCCCCCACAAACCUGGUGCAGAGCUCUUCUGCUUUCCUUUUAAAAAUUUAUUCAUACUCAAGUUCUUUAUACUUCCUCGUUUCACUGUUUGAAGAAAAUCGGAAGAAAUUUGGUUUUGAAAAAAGUCGUUGGUCCCCACGUUUCCAAGAGAUCCGGAGGUUUCAGCGCAAUAGUUUUCAGUUAAGGUGUCAUUUGAGGCCCUCUAUAUCGCAGCACGUUAAAUGACUCGCGUCCAGCUCCCCAUUUCCUAGCCUCGGGCCUACAGGGCUGGGGGCGACCUCUGCCUCCCGUCCCCAGAGCUUACAAAAUUCCUUCCAGUUGUAUUUUAGGGCUUGUUUUCCUAGAGAAGGUUGAGACUAGAGGAAGGAUUAAAGUGGUGGGGGAAGGGGCAAGACCGAGGGGUCCCUACCCCACGCGGCUUUGGAGGAUGGCCUCCCAGGGUUAGCACUCGAAUGCUAGAGCUUCUUGUCCACACUCUACCAGGUCAGUGUCCCGCGAUCCCCACCUCCCGGACGCGUAUGAAACGGGAACAGCUAAGGGCUUCAAGGGAAACACACAACUGGGGUUCGGUUUUCAACCCUCCUCUCCGCAAAUCAGCCUUCUGGGCAGAGGGUUGGCUGCUAGAACGCCUGGAGGUGCUUCCCUUGAAUUCAUGGCAAACACCAGAGGAAAGUUUUCAGGUUGCUUGCUUACUUCCAGGGCAGUACAGAGAAAAGCGGCCUCCCCGAGGGGACAAGGGCCUCUGUGCCCAUGAGGGGUCGGA